UCAAGCCCUCAUAUGGGCAUUGUUUAAAGAUAGAGUUAAUAAUAAAAUCAGUACUAUCCUUGAUUCUCAGCAAACCAUCAAUAAAUGCCCUUCCAGAGUUUCUCAAUUUUAAUAGAUUACAUGAAUGGAUAGAUAAUAGAUUAGAUAUAUUGACAGAUGAAUAAUAUAGAUUGGAUAGAUGGACAGUUAGGUAACAGAUUAGAUCAUUUAUAUCCUUUCCUAAUUUAAUCCUUAAAAUAACUCUUCUAUCAAGUGGAUAUUCUCCCUCUGAAGUUAUCUGUGACUCAACAUGUCCCCAUCUUCUGCUCUAUUCUCCAGCUUCCAUAACGUGAUUUAGUAACAUCAUCAUGAAUCAAUCAAUAUCUCUGUCUCUCUAUCAUUCUGUCCUGCUCUUCUCUCCCCAUGUUCUCACUCCCACAUGCAGACACACACAUGUGUACACAUGUCACACACAUACAUAUAAAAUAUGUUUUCCAAGGUGCUUGUACUCUCCCCAUCUCUUUCAGGGACACCAAUGAAUCAUAGAUUUAGUCUUCUUACAUAAUCUCAUAUUUCUCAAAGGUUUUGUUUAUUCUUUUUUGUUCUCUUUUCUCUAUUCUUGUUGACUGUCUUAUUAGCAAGGGGUUCACACUCUCAGCUGUGGCAGGCUGCUAGCAGAUGCAGAGGUGCCUGCUUCCACGCAGGUGUCCAUCACGGUAGUGGAGGCAACACAGCUGGUUGGGCUUGGUCCAAGCCCGAAAGCCUCAGAACUAGGGGAGCUGAUAAUGUAACUCUUAGUUUGAGUCCAAAGGCCAAAGAACCUGGAAGCCUGCUAGUGCAAGUCCUGAAUCCAAAGCUCAUCAUAACUCUUGAAGAACCUGGAGUUAUGAUGCCCAAGGGCAAGUCAACUGAUGCCAAUUACCUGCUGAAUUAGGGAGAUUUCCAAGCCCUCCCUGACAUAUGCUGCUCACUGUUCACCCCCUCAAAUCUCAGUUCGUGUUAGUCUUCACAUGCUUUGAUCCUUUCCCGCCUAUCCCUGUCUCCUUGAAGGAACACUGCCUUGAUUCAAUGACGAAUGAUAUGUAUGCUAUGCUAGUGAAGUCUGAAUCUUCAGGAAACUAUAUUUAAUAUUAGUUUCUGUAAAAUAAGCAUUUAAAAUAAAUUGAAGAAAAAUAUUUAGCACGUCAGAUUAUUUUAAUUGCUAGUUAUAUAAAUCUGAUUAUACUAGCUUAA
Molecule: long non-coding RNA, 1212 nt
Filed under: Homo sapiens (human)
Lineage: Eukaryota; Metazoa; Chordata; Mammalia; Primates; Hominidae
Description: non-protein coding lnc-WDR17-2:1
Source: RNAcentral